CAGAGUUUUAGUUGAUCUUGCAAUUCCAUGUGAUAGACUGGGCCCUCCAGUAUUUCAAGGCAUCACUGUUGGUUUUCAUCCAAGAUCAUGGGAACUUGUUUAUAAUGGCAUGACCCAAAUUGGUUUUGAGAAACCCCACCAUGAUUUUAGCUUUCAUAUAGGGCAAACUCAGGUAGUUUUGUUUAUGACUGCAGUUGCUUCACUUUCUUCCCUAGUUCAAAAGCCUAGUUUAAAGGUACAUUUAGUCUCUGGGGAACUGUUUUUGGCUUUCCUUAAGGUACUGGGGGCAUGACCAUUGUUGAAUGCUGCUAAUUAGGUACUUCCAGAUAAGGGCCUUGAAGUUGGAUUGUCGGGGUCUGCUGCCAAAGGGAAGCCUCCUAUAAUGUUGUCACCCUCAAUGUUGAUUGUUGAUUAGAGAUGUAUGGUCCCACUUAUUUUAGGAUCAUCAAUGUUCUUUUCUUUGUUAAAGUUUAAUGUUUCAACUCUUUUCCAGGUGAGGUGGUCCGUAAUACCCCAUAUGAAGUUAAUAUCACAAUCCCUGUUGAGGGUUAUGAGCCAAUUGAAUUUGUGCUUACAAAAACAUGUGUUAAUGAUACUAA
This is a long non-coding RNA of Glycine soja, 599 nucleotides long. RefSeq lists it as uncharacterized. The record is from RefSeq and is a predicted model, not a curated record. NCBI's taxonomy places the organism in Eukaryota, Viridiplantae, Streptophyta, Magnoliopsida, Fabales, Fabaceae. The transcript is spliced from 3 exons.